Helianthus annuus (common sunflower) is the source of this 2095-nucleotide long non-coding RNA. RefSeq lists it as uncharacterized. The transcript has 12 exons. NCBI's taxonomy places the organism in Eukaryota, Viridiplantae, Streptophyta, Magnoliopsida, Asterales, Asteraceae. The record is from RefSeq and is a predicted model, not a curated record.
CAAUUCCAUUGUUCCCUUACGCAUCUCUUCUUUUCCUCCAUCUUUCUUAACCUAAUUAAUAUCGAUACCGUUUCACAAUCAUCUCUUCAACUUCAUAUGGAAACCACAAUCAAUCAUCAAUCAGUUGAUUCUACAAAACGCGAAUUGGCUUCACCGUUUCCUUUCUUGAUUAUAAAACCCUAGAUGUAAAUCCAGAAUCUUCAUUCACGGAUAUAACAAGGAGGCUAUACUCUCCGACGUUCAUAUUGUGGAAGAUCUUCUUCAAUCGAACACGUGCUUAAGGUUUACAAGGUGUGAAUGCAUAGUGGGGAUCUUAGGUUUUGUGUUAUUGCAAGAAGAUUUUCGUCUUUGGCGAACACGCUGUAGCCGCAUCUUCUCAAUGACAGAGACAACCGUUGAGGAUUCACAUGUAAUGCGAUCCAGUCAUUAGGGGUAUGACACACAUUGCCAGGUGGAGCCUGAAUCAUGUAAGCUGGUUGUUGAUCUGGUAAAAUUUGAGGAGCUGUCAUUUUUGGGACAUAAGCAGUGAGAUUAUUAUUAGUUGGUUUCAUUUUCUGGCUCCGGUUCCAAGAUCUGAACCAUUUCUUUCCCAAACCCGACAAUGGAUAUGAAACAAGAUAGCGAGUACCGCAAUUAGAGACAUCAUCUGGCCAACUGCCCUGCUUACUGUUUUACGAGCAAAGGAAUACAAUGCAAAAGCCUGAAUGGACGCACAUCUUGCUUAUCUUGGCUGCACGCUUAAGUAGAGGAUAUUAUGCAGUGGUGGGUUAGGGUUAACCUGUUAAUGUGAGUAACUUCUUCUGUUGGCAACAAGGUGAAUUGGAUUAUACAUCUAGAUGAUUUUGAAGCUAAUGUUUGUUUUGAUCUGAAAGAUGUUCCAGUGGUUAGUUUGGCUCAUUCUUUGUAUGCUCACAAAAGAUUACUUUCUAUCACACUACAUAUGUCAUCAAAAUGCACCACUUGGUACAGGUCUACGGUUCAAAAUGGUUUUGAGUUUACCCCAAUUAAAUUAAUUGUAAAAAAACCAUUACUCAGGGUGCAAGAAUAGAUGCAGGGGCGGUUCUUAGAAGAGCCGUGGCAGGGCCACGGCUCGGGCAAGUUUUUCGGGCGUAGUGCUAAUUUUCCGCAUUUCGAUCGAAAUUUUUUAUAUAUACUAUGUUUGGCCCGGGCUUGUCCGGGCUUUUUUUAGUGUCCGUGUCUUUCGGCCCUGGCAUGUUCAACGGGCAAGAUCCGCCACUGUUUAGAUGUGAUUGGAUACGUUGUGCAUUGUUUCAACAUUGAGAUGACCAGUCAUGAGAUUUGGGAAAGAAGCCCAAAGAUGAACCUAAAACUAAAAGAUAUUGAUGAUGUGGAGGUCGCUGUGACGUUGUGGGAUCAAUAUGCUAAAGCGAUUGAUGCAUACUAUAAAGCUAAUAUAGGGGAAGUUCAUGUGGUGUUACAUAUUCAGUUUGGCACGUUCAAGAUCUACAAAGUGUCGGUAUCAAUUUCAGCAACUUCUAAACAAAAACAAAGAUUAUGUUGUUCCGGACAUCAAGAUAUGUUCACCUUAUUCCCGAUGUUUGAAGAUAAUUCGAGGUGAUGCAAAAUUAUAUGCUUCUUUAAUUUUAAGGUUAGGUUUAAGGAUAGAGAGACUCAGAGACCUGCAAAGGUCACAACGCCAUGUGCCAUUUCAUCUGUUCAAUUCAAAUAAACAAACAACUGAUCAUUUUUAUGCUUUCUUUUUUAGGGAAGACUAUGUCCAUAUUACAUGAAUAGUUGACUUUUUGGUUUUCCCUCAAGUACUUGAAGACAUACAAUUCUUAGGUAAACCAUGAAAUGCAGUCUGAAACAAAACACAUCCCAAGAUUGUCCCAACUCCCAAGUCAAACCCAUUCAUAAGUUAAGAACUGAAGUCGCUGCCAAAGGUAGCAUUUGAGGAGUUCCAACCGAUGGACCGAUUUAACAAGUAUGGUUAGUUGCUCAACCUAUUGUGUUAUUUUCUAGAAAGUGUAAAAAACUAUCAUUUCUGUUUUGCAAACAAUGUACUCUAUGAACUUGCUUUUCACUCCAAUCUCCAUUGUGCAUAAGCAUGGAAUAAACUUCCCUUUCUAGAUCU